UACGUAGGGACCGAGCGUUGUCCGGAAUCAUUGGGCGUAAAGAGCGUGUAGGCGGCCACUUAAGUCCUGCGUGAAAUCUUGCGGCUCAACCGCAAGCGGUCGUGGGAAACUGGGUGGCUAGAGUGCGGGAGAGGAGAGUGGAAUUCCUGGUGUAGCGGUGGAAUGCGCAGAUAUCAGGAAGAACACCCGUGGCGAAGGCGGCUCUCUGGAACGCAACUGACGCUGAGACGCGAAAAGCGUGGAGAGCAAACAGG
Molecule: ribosomal RNA, 254 nt
Filed under: uncultured bacterium
Lineage: Bacteria
Description: partial 16S ribosomal RNA
Rfam family: Bacterial small subunit ribosomal RNA
Source: RNAcentral